AUUCCAGCUCCAAUAGCGUAUAUUAAAGUUGUUGCAGUUAAAACGCUCGUAGUUGAAGUUCUGUCAGUGAGAAUAGGUCAACUCUUUGAGUCUGUACUUAUUGUCGCCGACAUUGAUCCGAUACAUCCAGCGGGUCAAUCUGCUGGAUACUCGGAGCUGUUACUUUGAGAAAAUUAGAGUGUUUCAAGCAGGCGUAAAGCCUUGAAUACUCCAGCAUGGAAUAACAAGUAAGGACUCGAGUUCUUCUUGUUGGUUUAAGAACCUGAGUAAUGAUUAAGAGGAACAGUUGGGGGUAUUCGUACUUGGUCGUCAGAGGUGAAAUUCUUAGAUUGACCGAAGACGAACUACUGCGAAGGCAUCUACCAUGGAUGUUUUCAUUA
RNAcentral lists this ribosomal RNA (380 nucleotides) under Gregarinasina sp. Its description in RNAcentral is "partial small subunit ribosomal RNA". It matches the Rfam family "Eukaryotic small subunit ribosomal RNA", at positions 582 to 975 of the family's 1831-position model. The record is from RNAcentral. Lineage: Eukaryota; Apicomplexa; Conoidasida.